This 443-nucleotide ribosomal RNA is filed under the name uncultured bacterium. RNAcentral's name for it is "partial 16S ribosomal RNA". It matches the Rfam family "Bacterial small subunit ribosomal RNA", at positions 338 to 795 of the family's 1533-position model. The record is from RNAcentral.
CCUACGGGAGGCUGCAGUGGGGAAUAUUGGGCAAUGGGCGCAAGCCUGACCCAGCAACGCCGCGUGAAGGAAGAAGGCUUUCGGUUUGUAAACUUCUUUUCGCAGGGACGAAGCAAGUGACAGUACCUGCGGAAUAAGCCACGGCUAACUACGUGCCAGCAGCCGCGGUAAUACGUAGGCGGCAAGCGUUAUCCGGAUUUACUGGGUGUAAAGGUCGUGUAGGCGGGAAAGGAAGUCAGUUGUGAAAACCAUGGGCUCAACCUGUGACCUGCAUUUGAAACUGUUUUUCUUGAGUACUGGAGAGGCAGGCGGAAUUCCUAGUGUAGCGGUGAAAUGCGUAGAUAUUAGGAAGAACACCAGUGGCGAAGGCGGUCUACUGGACAGCAACUGACGCUGAGGCGCGAAAGCGUGGGGAGCAAACAGGAUUAGAUACCCGAGUAGUC